CACAGUGCAACACCGCAGAUUCCAAACUACCACCCAAAAAGUGGAAUUUCUGGACGAAGACUGGCUCCCCCAGGAACGGUUCAAUCAAUAAUAAAAGACUACGGAGAUAAGCAAAGUUACAGAUAACUGCUUCCAGCUUACCGGAUCGAAUAAAGACGACGCAGUGCAGGAUAGAAUCCAAUUACCAUAGGGCACGACGGUCUAAGGUUAUCCGAAAGUUAUGAAACUCUCUUAUUCUUUUUUUUGCACAUCCGUUGGACGGAAGGAAAGCUGUUCAACUUUCGAUGAAGGUUCAUCAUAUCAUCACAACACAACAAUAUUUCACACGGAUUCCUCAGGUCAACAGCAAUAAUUUGAACAAAACAGCCAGUGACCGAUAGACUCAACUCGAAGUUCUGGCUGUAGUACGAAGACUACCAACUUCGCAAACGGAAGAGUACCCGAAUGCGGAUUCACCGGGAAAACAUUCUCGUUGACACUAGCGAGACAGCAAUAUCAUGAAAAAAAUCUAAUGUAACCAUAAAAAUUCCAUAGAUUUUAUUAUUUAAGGUGUACAUUGAAUGCAUUGUGUGUUGAAUAUUUAAAAAAACGGUAGCUUUAUAACUUUUCAUUUAUAAGUAUUCUAUAAUAGUUACGUUACGUUACGAACGAUUAGAUAAACUAUUAGUGUGCUUCAAAAUAGAAUAAGGAUAAACUAUGUAUA
Uranotaenia lowii is the source of this 703-nucleotide long non-coding RNA. RefSeq lists it as uncharacterized. NCBI's taxonomy places the organism in Eukaryota, Metazoa, Arthropoda, Insecta, Diptera, Culicidae. The record is from RefSeq and is a predicted model, not a curated record. The transcript has 4 exons.